GAUAGUGUAAUUUCACGUAUAUUAUUACUUUUAAUGCUACCCAAAGGUCGUGACAAGUCGAUAAAACGCAGAGUCAAAA
RNAcentral lists this non-coding RNA (79 nucleotides) under unclassified sequences. The record is from RNAcentral.